Molecule: long non-coding RNA, 310 nt
Organism: Calliphora vicina (urban bluebottle blowfly)
Lineage: Eukaryota; Metazoa; Arthropoda; Insecta; Diptera; Calliphoridae
Exons: 3
Source: RefSeq, a predicted model, not a curated record
GGAUUAUGCUGUAUAUCAUAUUCAAAAUUUCAAUGAAAGGCUUCAUUCACAUUAAUGUAACUCAAUUGUACGUUGCCUCAUUGUAAUACAUCAGCAUUUCCAAUAAAAAAAGUUUAUUUCUAUCUCCAGAAAACUCUUCUAUUGUAAAUUGUUCAUGAUUCAAUACAACCAUACACAUUACUGCCAAUUCAUAACUAAAAUCAUAAUGUAAUUUUUAGUUUUAUAGUAUUAACUUUAGAUUUAAAUGUGGUAUUUAAUUUAUGUACUAUGUGUAAUAAAAAUUCAACUACUACAUACUUGAUAUUGAAAA